Molecule: non-coding RNA, 2053 nt
Filed under: Betula luminifera
Lineage: Eukaryota; Viridiplantae; Streptophyta; Magnoliopsida; Fagales; Betulaceae
Source: RNAcentral
GCUAGCGAUGGAAAUGAAGUCCCCAAGAAGAAGCGAUAAGCAGUGGCGGCUGUGUUGUUGUACUGAUGUCUGAUGAUAUGGGAGAGCAUGGAGAGGGAGUUAGGGUUUUCGGAAGGUUGUGGCAUGGGCGAGUGGGGAAGACAAAAAAAGGUUGUUGUAGAGGAAAUCAAGUUUGUUUGUCUGUCUUCCCUACUCCGCCCAUGCCAUAGGUUUCCGAUUGUCCCUCCCUCUCCUCACCUUCUCCAUACCUGAUCUACGUGAUUCGCCUGUAUGUUUUAUUUAUAUGCUUCUGCAUGUGUACGUAUCUGUAUAUAUAUGACUUUUGUGUAGCUAUGCAGGCAGCAGGUGUGUAUAUAUAGACAUGCUGAUUUCACUUUCGAUAUAUAUGUCUAUAUAUGUGUGUGUCUAUAUAUAGUAUAUAUCUAUAUAUAUAUAUAUAUAUAUGCCGAUAUCACUCGUGACUGAUCAUCAUGGAACUGUAGUACUGACAUAUAUAUUUCUAUAUAUGUGUGUGUUUAUAUAUAGAUAUAUAUGUAUAUUUUUAUGCAUAUGUGGAUAAUAUCUCACAUGGUAAAAAGUUGGAAAAGGAUUGCUUCUAUAUCCUUAUAUACAGGGAUUUUAGAUCUUAAUUUAUUCUCUGCGUGGAAUUUGUUAAACAUGAUCGAAAGUUCAUGAUUAUUUUGUUAUUAAAAAGUUGGCAAAUUUAAGAUUUAAUUUGGGUGAAGCACAAAUUAUCUCUCAAUAUUGGAGAUAAAGGUCAAAUUUUAUCUUAUGUAAUUUGGAAGGAUUGAUGUCCCAUGCUAUUACAGAUAUAAAUUUAGUCAUAUAAGCUUCCUUUUGGUGGUAAUUGUUGUUAUCUAGCAGGAAUUUGAAUAUGGUUGAAGGAUAUUGUGAAGAUUAUGCUCGUUUGUGCUCCUUGUAUUUUGGGUUUGGGUAAGGUUGAAGGGUUUCGAAAUGAUCAUGCCAUGCCUGUGGCCUUUGUUUUAGUGUUAAUACUGCUUUAUCUAGAGGAUCAUGUCUUUUUUUUUUUUUAAUUAAUUUCUUAUUAUAUAUUUAUAUUUUCUACACUUAUUAUUGCUAUGGGUAUGUUGUUGGGAGUCCCAUCCUUUUUUUUUUAAGUCUUCUACUCUCUCUUUUAUUUGGAUUAAAAGUGAAAAAAUCCUCCUUAGUAAUUUUUCUCCUUCAAUUAGAAAAAAAAAGCAUUUGAAAAAAGGGCAAUUUUUUUUUUUUGGACAAAUUUCCUUAAAUUCUAGUUUGAAAAAGUAUUAUGUGAGAGAGAUGAGAGUUGAGAGAGAGUGGGAGAGACGCUAUGGGGCGAUAGUGAAAGUUCACCAAAUCCAAAAAGCAAUAUUGACGCUUCGUUAUGCUCCAUUAGCAGCAAUCAGAAAAAAAAAAUCUCAACCCUACACUUCAAUAGCUUUUCUUAACAACCAUUAGAUCAGUAGUCCAACGUUGGGAAUUCCUGAGAUGCAACUAAACUAAUUCAAAAAGUAUAUAACAUGUACUUAUAAUGUAUUAAAACUCUAAACAAUGUACGUCUAUUAUACUAAUAGCCUAUUAUAUAUAUAUAUAUAUAUGAGCAAGCCGAAUCGAGCUUUCAUGAGCUUUGUUUACGAGUUUAAUUCGAGCCGAGCCGAGCUUUGAUCGACAUGUUCAAUUUGUUUGUAUAUUUAUCCGUUUGUUUGACAGUCUUAACUAGGCUGAUCCGCUGAUUGGCUCCAUGUUGUUAUCUCAUGAGUAAUGCAAGCCAAGGGGUUGCUGUUGCAGCAUAUACACAGCUGCAGUUCUUACUGAUUCCUAUGGAAAUAUCAUUGCUGCCGUGUCAAAGAAGCAUGCUUUGGUGGAUGUAAAUGCUGGUGAAGCACAUGUUGCCACCCCGACAGUCGGUCACUUUCAUCAUCCUUCAAGGACCUUCUCUCGCUAUUAUCUUGGCCAUCAACAAUGUUAAUUCCUUUUCUGAUUGGAAUUUUGCUCCAAAUCAUUGGAGUUAUUCUUCAGCAACUCUAAUGUUACCGCCACAUUUAGAGUCCACUACAAAAAUCGCUUAAAGUGC